UCUCCGUUAUCCGGAGCAGUCCUCGUAGAGUUCUCCCUUGCGGGUAGCAACUACGAGUGAGGGUUGCGCUCGUUGCGGGACUUAACCCAACACCUCACGGCACGAGCUGACGACAGCCAUGCAGCACCUCUACUACGGUCCCUUGCGGGGUACCGGUGUUUCCACCGGCGUUGACCAGCCGUUCGAGCCCAGGUAAGGUUCUUCGCGUUGCGUCGAAUUGAACCACAUGCUCCACCGCUUGUGCGGGCCCCCGUCAAUUCCUUUGGGUUUCAGCCUUGCGACUGUACUCCCCAGGCGGCAUAUUUAACGCGUUAGCUCCGGCACGGAUCAACUGAAUGACCCACACCAAAUAUGCAUCGUUUAGGGCGUGGACUAC
This 376-nucleotide unclassified non-coding RNA is filed under the name uncultured Bryobacterales bacterium. Its description in RNAcentral is "contains 16S-23S intergenic spacer region". Lineage: Bacteria; Pseudomonadati; Acidobacteriota; Terriglobia; Bryobacterales. The record is from RNAcentral.